Molecule: ribosomal RNA, 627 nt
Filed under: uncultured bacterium
Lineage: Bacteria
Description: bacterial SSU rRNA
Rfam family: Bacterial small subunit ribosomal RNA
Source: RNAcentral
GAAGAGGAUGGGCAUGCGGCGCAUUAGCUAGACGGCGGGGUAACGGCCCACCGUGGCGACGAUGCGUAGGGGUUCUGAGAGGAAGGUCCCCCACACUGGUACUGAGACACGGACCAGACUCCUACGGGAGGCAGCAGUGAGGAAUAUUGGUCAAUGGGAGAGAUCCUGAACCAGCCAAGCCGCGUGAGGGAAGACGGCCCUAUGGGUUGUAAACCUCUUUUGUCGGAGAACAAAACCCGGGACGUGUCCCGGACUGCGUGUAUCCGAAGAAAAAGCAUCGGCUAACUCCGUGCCAGCAGCCGCGGUAAUACGGAGGAUGCGAGCGUUAUCCGGAUUUAUUGGGUUUAAAGGGUGCGUAGGCGGUCCGUUAAGUCAGCGGUAAAAUUGCGGGGCUCAACCCCGUCGAGCCGUUGAAACUGGCAGACUUGAGUUGGCGAGAAGUACGCGGAAUGCGCGGUGUAGCGGUGAAAUGCAUAGAUAUCGCGCAGAACUCCGAUUGCGAAGGCAGCGUACCGGCGCCAGACUGACGCUGAGGCACGAAAGCGUGGGGAUCGAACAGGAUUAGAUACCCUGGUAGUCCACGCAGUAAACGAUGAAUGCUGGUUGUCCGGGUCGAAUGAGACCUGG